Molecule: long non-coding RNA, 883 nt
Organism: Cuculus canorus (common cuckoo)
Lineage: Eukaryota; Metazoa; Chordata; Aves; Cuculiformes; Cuculidae
Exons: 3
Source: RefSeq, a predicted model, not a curated record
AAAACAAACUUUGGCUCAUUAAUUACAUUAAUAAUAAUGCAGUUACAAUUCUCCAAAAUGUCAUUUUGCAUAAUUGCAAAUUUAUCCCUUCUUUACAGUUUAUUCAAAAAUAUCUUUUCAAGGUAAAUUACGUUAAAAGAUAACAAUACUUAAACUAAAAAUUAAAUUAAGAAGCCUUUCAAUCACAGUCUGUCUUCUCAAGAUUUUUGAGUCAAGAAAUAUUGAUAGUGAAGUUCAGGAUUUUUCAAGAUAUGGCAUUUAUGGCAAAGAGAGCCCUCUCUUAAUACCUGCAUAGAUAAUGAUUCUUGAUUUAUAAAGAUUUAUGAAUCUUUUUCUGCACUACUGUAAUUUCAGGAAAAAAGACGACAAUAUUAUUUUACAAGAAAAUAUCAAGGCUCAUCCUGCUUCCACAGGAUGUCUUCAUACAGGAUAUCCGGCACUGGAUUGGAAAGCUAACUUUGUAAUUCAGCGAGUGAUGAUGUUUCAUCUGGAAGAGUAGGGAUUUCCUGAACAGAACUUGCGAAACUGUUGAGAGAGAUCUAGCUACAGUUCUUCCUGCUUUGAAGAAAUGUUUUGUGAAGGUUUACAGAGCAGCAGACUGGAGAUCGCUGUAUUCCCGAAGCCUUUUGCACUUUGAUACAAGAGGACCUAAUGUUUGCCAGCCUGAAUUUCUCUGUCAGUGCUUGCUCGCAGCUACAUUUCCAGAGAGGGAGGAAGCAAAAGUGAGAUGAAUAAAUGUAUAAGUACAGCAUGGCCCAAGGAAGAGGUUACGACUGUCACCCUUUACUAAAUUUCACUGUAGACAAAACAAGGUAUGUAGUAAACUUUUAUGGGACAUUUGUUUGUUCUUCUGCUUUUAUCGCACACCUACGUCUUUAGCCUA